UACGUAGGGUGCGAGCGUUGUCCGGAAUUAUUGGGCGUAAAGAGCUUGUAGGCGGCCAUGUAGGUCCGGUGUGAAAACUCGAGGCUUAACCUCGAGAUGUCAUCGGAAACCAUUUGGCUAGAGUCCGGAAGAGGAAAGUGGAAUUCCUGGUGUAGCGGUGAAAUGCGCAGAUAUCAGGAAGAACACCAAUGGCGAAAGCAGCUUUCUGGGACGGUACUGACGCUGAGACGCGAAAGCGUGGGGAGCGAACAGG
RNAcentral lists this ribosomal RNA (253 nucleotides) under uncultured bacterium. RNAcentral's name for it is "partial 16S ribosomal RNA". It matches the Rfam family "Bacterial small subunit ribosomal RNA", at positions 524 to 776 of the family's 1533-position model. The record is from RNAcentral.